This 633-nucleotide long non-coding RNA is filed under the name Linum usitatissimum (flax). RNAcentral's name for it is "long non-coding RNA (LUSI_LNC005095)". The record is from RNAcentral. Lineage: Eukaryota; Viridiplantae; Streptophyta; Magnoliopsida; Malpighiales; Linaceae.
GCUGAAAUCAAACAUGGUAAAUCCUCCUAGUCGUCUUCUGGAAUCAAUCUCUCAAAGUAAUGAAGGAGGGCCAAGUCAUGGGGCCUAUUAUUCAUCAAGUUAUGCUUUUAAUAUAGUACAAAAGCAAACAUUAUAUUCCAAUGAUCCAACAAAAAUUGUCGAACAAAAAUAGGAAACAAUAGCCAGGAACAAAAUUACAAAAAGCAACAAUUCUGGAGUGGUCCAUAUAUAAAUAACAAAUUCCAGGCAAAUGUUAUUUCAAAAAAAAAUCAUCACACAGAUUCAUCCUUUCUUAGAAGGCGCUGAUACGCUGGGCCGAGCUUGAUACAUUGGAGGAGGAGGGGUCGGCGGUCUCGCCGGAGGUGGAGGCGGGGGGGAUUGGAGGAGGUGACGAGCCUCUGUGGAUUGUGUAGCCACACACAGAAGAAGAACGAUUACAAUUAGGAGUGCAUGCAGGAAUCCCGCCACUAUUUUCUUGCUUUUAGUAACUACUGCCAUGCUCUCUAAUUAACCUUCUGCUCUUGAGAAGAGAAGAUCAACAAGUUGAUUGAUUGAUUGAUGGGUGGGAUUAUGUUUGAAUGAUCAAAGCAGAUAAGACGUCUUUAUAUAGAUUACGAGAUAAUAUUGGUUUCA